UGGGGAAUCUUCCGCAAUGGGCGCAAGCCUGACGGAGCAAUGCCGCGUGAACGAAGAAGGUCUUCGGAUUGUAAAGUUCUGUCCUUAUCGAAGAGAGGGUAUAGAGUGAAAAAUGAUAUACUAGGACGGUAGAUGAGGAGGAAGCCCCGGCUAACUACGUGCCAGCAGCCGCGGUAAUACGUAGGGGGCGAGCGUUGUCCGGAAUCACUGGGCGUAAAGGGCGCGUAGGCGGUAAUAUAAGUCAGAUGUGAAAGGUGGGGGCUCAACCCCUAGAGUGCAACUGAUACUGUAUAACUUGAGUGUGAGAGAGGGAAGCGGAAUUCCUAGUGUAGCGGUGAAAUGCGUAGAUAUUAGGAGGAACACCAGUGGCGAAGGCGGCUUUCUGGCUCAUAACUGACGCUGAGGCGCGAAAGCGUGGGGAGCAAACAGG
Molecule: ribosomal RNA, 430 nt
Filed under: uncultured bacterium
Lineage: Bacteria
Description: bacterial SSU rRNA
Rfam family: Bacterial small subunit ribosomal RNA
Source: RNAcentral